CUGAGACCUCUUUCAACAAAUUCAAGUGAGAACCUGGAGAGUUUGGGAAGAGAGAAGACUUUGGAACUCCCGGGUUUGCAUUCUCCCAGGACUUUCUGGCCCAGAAAGAGGGUGACUUGGGAGGAGUUACCACAACCACACAGAGAGUGACAGAGGGAGACAGUAGAGGGAGCUUAAGCCAAAAGGUUGAGACAAGAGGUAGCAGUUACAGAAAAGUUGAGGGUGGGAAAGGAGCAACAGACCUUUUUGGGUGGGUAAGAGAGAAAACAAUGGCUCAGGUAAGGGGGCUAAUGUCUCAGUGGAGUCAAAUGUUCACUUCCUUCCUGAAGCCUGGACUGCCUGAUGUGGGUUAGUCUGCUGACUGUGGCGUCUUUCUUCCCCACAUGCUCUGUCUUCUCUACACUUUCCCCAGAGGAGGAGAUCCUGACCCAGUUCCAGAUCGCUCAAUCUGGAGAACAAGUCUCUAUGUUAUAAGAUGCCAUCUAGAAAGGCCCACCUGUCCUAGCACUGAGGGAGACCAGCAGACAGGGAGGCACAGAAGUCUUCAAUCUGGACAGGUGCCUGCCAGUACCCCUGAGUGAGCUCGGAUCCUGAGUGAAGCAGGUCCUGCCUCAGAUCAUGAGCUUCUAGAGGGCAGGGACUUUGUUGAUUUUUUCCAGCACUGGCACUGCUUGAAUGCCCAGGGCACAGUUGCUGAAUGAAUAGAUAAGAAGAUCCAACCCACUACUGACCCACUUAAUUAUUAGAGCCAAAUUCUCUUCCAUCCUUUUAAAUGGACUAGGUUGACUGUUGCUGAGCUAACAUCUGUGCCAAUCUUCCUCUGCUUUAUAUGGGAUGCCGCUACAGCAUGGCUUCACGAGUGGUGCUAAGCCAGCGCCCAGGAUCUGAACCUGCAAAUUUCAGGAUGUCAAAGAAGAUGCAACUCUCCCAGCAGAAAGGACAAAGAAGACUCAACGGAACCAGGAGACUCUAAGAUGGCCUUUAUUGUUUCACAGAGAGCGAACGCCAGACUGUUCUCCAGUAGCUUGCAUAGAGGAACAGCUCUGUGGACUGUCUGUUUAACGUGAGCCAAGAACUUUGUGGUUGAUGCCCUGGACGCUGAUCAGGGUUGUGGUGAAGACACAAUGAAUAUGCAUGGAAGACACAUAAUAUGCAUGGAAGUGCUUUAUACAUUGCCAGAUCCUAUGCAGAGUCCAGAGGUUUGUAAAGGAUGAAGAAAAUUGCUGCUGACUCUACAACCCAUUUCAGCCAAAUUGCGAGGCCCGAAGGUCCUGGUGACGUUGAGAACAGCAGAUGAUUGGAAAGGUUUAUUCCUCCACACCUGGAUGAUAGACACAAGUCCACUGCAAACAUGAGGUUGGCUUUAUUUGUAAGAGUCACAGCCACACAUGGAGCCCUAACAUUCCCCGCUGCAGUCUACUCAGUGACAAUUAUACUGACUGCCAGUGUCAGUACGUGCUAAGUACAACAGCCAUCUGAGAGUUGCCUGCUGAAUGGAUAUGGCAUCAAGGCUGUAGGCUAGGGAACUUAGGAUGGAAAUGUUCCCUGAAAGGCUUAGUUCUCCCACCAUUCGUGUUACCAUAACACUCUGAUUCAUGUGAUACACUGUGAUGACAUGUGGCCCUCACUUUACAUAUAUAGAUAUAAUGUGGCACACAAUCCACUGUACUUUUACGAUUAUGUAAAAUUUUCAUUUCAAUUAAAAUGCGAAGUGGAAAGCUUGUGUAGAGUGCACAAGAGUUUUUAUUCUGUGCUCCCAGGUGUGAAGGGAUCACAGUUUCUGCACAAACUUUUGGAUUGGUUCACCUGGAGCAUGACUCAAGAGAAGCAUUUCCAAACAGAUAUCUCAAGAUGGGCAAGAUACUUGCUCCCCCUUGUCAAAGAGAAACAGCAUCAGACCCUUGUUAAAGGCAGAAAGACAGGUUUUAUUCAGAUUACUGCAGUAGGGGCGAGAUA
Molecule: long non-coding RNA, 1956 nt
Organism: Equus caballus (horse)
Lineage: Eukaryota; Metazoa; Chordata; Mammalia; Perissodactyla; Equidae
Source: Ensembl